GACAGGGGGGACAAGUGUUAGUUAUCGUGACUGGGUGUAAAGAGUGCGUAGGUGGUUAUUUAAAUCGGUGGUGAAAGACCAGAUCCAAGUCUGGAAGAGCGAUUGAUAUUGAAUAACUUAGAGGUUGGAAGGGGAUAGAGGAAUUCUUAGUGUAGGGGUUAAAUCCGUCAAAAUUAAGAAGAACACCAAUGGCGAAAGCGUCUGUCUGGGACAAUACUGACACUGAGGCACGAAAGCGUGGGGAUCAAACUGG
This 253-nucleotide ribosomal RNA is filed under the name uncultured prokaryote. RNAcentral's name for it is "partial 16S ribosomal RNA". It matches the Rfam family "Bacterial small subunit ribosomal RNA", at positions 524 to 776 of the family's 1533-position model. The record is from RNAcentral.